GUUUUCUACUCUGAACUUCGAUACGGCAAAAAUGGCUUCAGAGAAGAAGCUAUCUAAUCCUAUGCGCGAUAUCAAAGUCCAAAAACUUGUUCUCAACAUCUCCGUUGGUGAAAGUGGUGACCGUCUUACCAGAGCCGCCAAGGUGCUCGAACAACUCAGUGGCCAAUCUCCAGUCUUCUCCAAGGCUCGGUACACCGUUCGGUCGUUUGGGAUCCGGCGUAACGAAAAAAUUGCAUGUUAUGUGACCGUGA
RNAcentral lists this unclassified non-coding RNA (251 nucleotides) under Hevea brasiliensis (rubber tree). The record is from RNAcentral. Lineage: Eukaryota; Viridiplantae; Streptophyta; Magnoliopsida; Malpighiales; Euphorbiaceae.